Molecule: ribosomal RNA, 397 nt
Filed under: uncultured bacterium
Lineage: Bacteria
Description: partial 16S ribosomal RNA
Rfam family: Bacterial small subunit ribosomal RNA
Source: RNAcentral
AUACGUAGGGGGCGAGCGUUGUCCGGAAUGAUUGGGCGUAAAGGGCGCGUAGGCGGCCUGUUAAGUCUGGAGUGAAAGUCCUGUUUUCAAGAUGGGAAUUGCUUUGGAUACUGAUGGGCUUGAGUGCAGGAGAGGUUAUCGGAAUUCCCGGUGUAGCGGUGAAAUGCGUAGAAAUCGGGAGGAACACCAGUGGCGAAGGCGGGUAACUGGACUGCAACUGACGCUGAGGCGCGAGAGUGUGGGGAGCAAACAGGAUUAGAUACCCUGGUAGUCCACACUGUAAACGAUGAAUGCUAGGUGUAAGAGGUAUCGACCCCUUUUGUGCCGGAGUUAACACAAUAAGCAUUCCGCCUGGGGAGUACGGCUGCAAGGUUGAAACUCAAAUGAAUUGACGGGG